This 301-nucleotide ribosomal RNA is filed under the name uncultured bacterium. Its description in RNAcentral is "partial 16S ribosomal RNA". It matches the Rfam family "Bacterial small subunit ribosomal RNA", at positions 509 to 807 of the family's 1533-position model. The record is from RNAcentral.
CAGUAGCCGCGGGAAUACGAAGGGGGCUAGCGUUGCUCGGAAUCACUGGGCGUAAAGGGUGCGUAGGCGGGUCUUUAAGUCAGGGGUGAAAUCCUGGAGCUCAACUCCAGAACUGCCUUUGAUACUGAAGAUCUUGAGUUCGGGAGAGGUGAGUGGAACUGCGAGUGUAGAGGUGAAAUUCGUAGAUAUUCUCAAGAACACCAGUGGCGAAGGCGGCUCACUGGCCCGAUACUGACGCUGAGGCACGAAAGCGUGGGGAGCAAACAGGAUUAGAUACCCCCGUAGUCCCUGUCUCUUAUAC